GAUGAACGCUAGCUACAGGCUUAACACAUGCAAGUCGAGGGGAAACGAUAUUGGAAGCUUGCUUCCGAUAGGCGUCGACCGGCGCACGGGUGAGUAACGCGUAUCCAACCUGCCCAUCACUUGGGGAUAACCUUGCGAAAGUAAGACUAAUACCCAAUGACGUCUCUAGAAGACAUCUGAAAGAGAUUAAAGAUUUAUCGGUGAUGGAUGGGGAUGCGUCUGAUUAGCUUGUUGGCGGGGUAACGGCCCACCAAGGCGACGAUCAGUAGGGGGUCUGAGAGGAAGGUCCCCCACAUUGAGACUGAGACACGGUCCAAACUCCUACGGGAGGCAGCAGUGAGGAAUAUUGGUCAAUGGGCGAGAGCCUGAACCAGCCAAGUAGCGUGCAGGAAGACGGACCUAUGGGUUGUAAACUGCUUUUAUAAGGGAAUAAAGUGGGAGUCGUGACUCCUUUUGCAUGUACCUUAUGAAUAAGGACCGGCUAAUUCCGUGCCAGCCGCCGCGGUAA
RNAcentral lists this ribosomal RNA (508 nucleotides) under uncultured bacterium. RNAcentral describes it as "partial 16S ribosomal RNA". It matches the Rfam family "Bacterial small subunit ribosomal RNA", at positions 28 to 523 of the family's 1533-position model. The record is from RNAcentral.